GGAUGCGCAGCUGCCUCGAGGCGGGUGGGUCUCAGUCUCUGUUUGGCUCUGGGCUCUCGCGGCUGUGGGUGUGGGGUUGCGCGUCUUGCUCGAUGCACCUCUUCGCCUAUUGGCGGUGCGGCGCGUGCAAUACGCUCACUGGCAGCCAGUUUAUGGCCAUAAAUGUUCACUCAUUUGCUCGCCACAUAUUUGUCAGCCAGCGGGCAAGCUGCCAGAGGCAGCAGCUACAAAAAUAGAGAAAGAACAGAAAAACUAAUUGCAGCAGAUUUAGUCUAGUGCAGUGACAGCACCUCUGCAAUGGAACCACAAUUUCCUAAAUCAAUUUAAGCAUCUCCCGUUGGCUUGGCUUUAAUUGGCGCCGCGUUUUGCAUUUGUUUAAUAUUUAAAGCUCAACAAUUUUGCACAAUAUCUAAGACGGCAACAACAACAUGAAGCCAACAGCGAUUUGUAUGUACAACAACAACUGUAAAUUUACAACAACAAUCGUGUCAAGUUCAACAAAAGCUUCGCCCAUUGUUGUUGUUGUAAAUCUCAUAUAUAAAAUUCGUGGCACGCACAGAGCCCAAAAA
Drosophila navojoa is the source of this 569-nucleotide long non-coding RNA. The record is from RefSeq and is a predicted model, not a curated record. NCBI's taxonomy places the organism in Eukaryota, Metazoa, Arthropoda, Insecta, Diptera, Drosophilidae.